UCCGGAAGUCAUCGAUGCCACGCUUCCAGGAAAAGCCUCUAAGCUUCAGAUCACAUGCGACCGUACCCCAAACCGACACAGGUGGUCAGGGUGAGAAUCCCAAGGCGCUUGAGAGAACUCGGGUGAAGGAACUAGGCAAAAUGGCACCGUAACUUCGGGAGAAGGUGCGCCGGCGUAGCGUGAAGAGACUCGCUCUCCUAGCGCGAACCGGUCGAAGAUACCAGGUGGCUGCAACUGUUUAUUAAAAACACAGCACUCUGCUAACGCGUAAGCGGACGUAUAGGGUGUGACGCCUGCCCGGUGCCGGAAGGUUAAUUGAUGGUGUUAGCGCAAGCGAAGCUCCUGAUCGAAGCCCCGGUAAACGGCGGCCGUAACUAUAACGGUCCUAAGGUAGCGAAAUUCCUUGUCGGGUAAGUUCCGACCUGCACGAAUGGCGUAAUGAUGGCCACGCUGUCUCCACCCGAGACUCAGUGAAAUUGAAAUCGCAGUGAAGAUGCUGUGUACCCGCGGCUAGACGGAAAGACCCCGUGAACCUUUACUAUAGCUUCACACUGGACGCUGAUGUUGCUUGUGUAGGAUAGCUGGGAGGCUUGGAAACCGUGACGCCAGUUGCGGUGGAGCCAACCUUGAAAUACCAGCCUGGCAUCAUUGGCGUUCUAACUUCGCACCGUGAUCCGGUGUAAGGACAGUGUGUGGUGGGUAGUUUGACUGGGGCGGUCUCCUCCGAAAGCGUAACGGAGGAGCACGAAGGUACCCUCAGCACGGUUGGAAAUCGUGCAUUGAGUGCAAGAGCAUAAGGGUGCUUAACUGCGAGACAGACACGUCGAGCAGGUACGAAAGUAGGUUCUAGUGAUCCGGUGGUUCUGUAUGGAAGGGCCAUCGCUCAACGGAUAAAAGGUACUCCGGGGAUAACAGGCUGAUACCGCCCAAGAGUUCACAUCGACGGCGGUGUUUGGCACCUCGAUGUCGGCUCAUCACAUCCUGGGGCUGAAGUCGGUCCCAAGGGUAUGGCUGUUCGCCAUUUAAAGUGGUACGCGAGCUGGGUUUAGAACGUCGUGAGACAGUUCGGUCCCUAUCUGCCGUGGGCGUUGGAGAUUUGAGAAGCGCUGCUCCUAGUACGAGAGGACCGGAGUGGACGCACCUCUGGUGUUCCGGUUGUCACGCCAGUGGCACUGCCGGGUAGCUAUGUGCGGACGGGAUAACCGCUGAAGGCAUCUAAGCGGGAAGCCCCCUUCAAGAUGAGAUCUCCCUGAGACUUCGAGUCUCCUAAAGGGUCCAGCAAGACGAGCUGGUUGAUAGGCACGGUGUGGAAGCGCUGCAAGGCGUUGAGCUAACGUGUACUAAUGCCCCGUGAGGCUUGACCAUAUAACCCCAAGGGGU
Molecule: ribosomal RNA, 1380 nt
Filed under: Gammaproteobacteria bacterium MFB021
Lineage: Bacteria; Pseudomonadati; Pseudomonadota; Gammaproteobacteria
Description: bacterial LSU rRNA
Rfam family: Bacterial large subunit ribosomal RNA
Source: RNAcentral